GCAGAAGCACCUCACAGCUCAGUCACUGUGCGUGUGCCCGGCAGGCACAGGUCAGGCACCUCCACCCGGAUUUGAGAGGGAACACAGAGCAUCUCACUCAGAGGAAGAGCGUCCAGCAUGGGGCUCCCUGGCCUGCUCAGAGCUGUCAUAGCCUCUGUCUGCCUUGGAUCCAUCAUGGCCCAGAAAGUAACUCAGAAUCAGUCAGAAAUUUCUGUGCUGGAGAAGGAGGAUGUAACCUUGAAUUGUGCAUAUGAAGCUAAUAGUUAUACUUAUUAUUUAUUCUGGUACAAGCAACCACCAAGUAGGGAAAUGAUUUUCCUUAUUCAUCAGGAGUCUUACAAUGAGCUGAAUACAACAAAAGGUCAGUAUUUUUUGAACUUCCAGAAAGCAACGAGUUCCAUCAGCCCCACCAUCUCAGACUUACAGCUCGAGGACUCCGCCGUGUAUUUCUGUGCUCUGAGAGACCACAGUGAUGCCGCUGCCUGAGGGAGCCCCACAGAAACCUCAGCUGUUAACAUGUGGAGUCCCCCAGCUAUGAACAGCUUAGUGAGAUUCUCGGUAAGGACAGGAGAAGGUAGAGGGGUUAGAAGUGAAAACCUCACUGUAAGGAAAAUGCUAUCUUUGGCUCAGAGAGUAUAUCUUAAAGUGUCAUUCAGCAAAAAUACCUGUAUCUUCAAUUCUUUAUCUUGCAGAAGAUCAUUUGCCAAUUUUUUUUUAAAUUUUAAAAUAGUGACUUUAUUAAAGUAUGAAAUUUGACUUUAAAAAAUUCAAUAGAAUUUGAUGAAAUCUGCACCUGAGUUGUCAGAGUUUUAGGUUCACUGCACAAAUAUUUAUGCAUUGCUAAUUCUGGCCAUCAUUGUGGAUCUGAAAUAUCUCUGAAAGGACACUUCUUAGACCCUCCCUGUGCCCUGCCUCACCUGUGCCGUGAAUUACUUGGAAUGAUGUGCACAGAGUAACUGUUACCAAUCUUCACCCGAAAGAGAAAUGAAACCCUACAGUUUGCUCAGAACUAACCUCAUCACCUGGUCACAUUCCCUAUGUGUGAUUACAAAGUUAUGUAUGUGUAAGGUAGAAAAAAGAAUAUGCAAAGAAGAAAUGCUAAAAACAAAAUAACUCACCAAUUUUACUAGUCAAAAAAUAAACUCUAUUAGAGAUUCAUACCUUAUAGGAUAUUUCUAGUCUGAAUUUUUACCUGACAGUAUAUUGUGAAAUAAUUAUUUCACAACAUAUUUACAGGUCAACAUCAGACAUUCUAAUGGCAAUAUUCCAAUGUGUGAUUUUAUCAUACUUUUGGGCUAAUUCCAUUUUACUAGCUUUUCAGAUUGUUUUACUCACUGUAGUAAACAAUACUGGAAUAAACACAAAGGUAUUUGGUGGUUUUCUUGA
Molecule: non-coding RNA, 1386 nt
Organism: Capra hircus (goat)
Lineage: Eukaryota; Metazoa; Chordata; Mammalia; Artiodactyla; Bovidae
Source: the annotation of a RefSeq genome assembly